GCGGGCGUAGCGUAGCUGGUUAACGCAUCUGCUUGUCACGCAGAAGAUCGCCGGUUCGAGUCCGGUCGCUCGCGCAA
Molecule: transfer RNA, 77 nt
Filed under: hydrothermal vent metagenome
Description: tRNA-Asp-GTC
Rfam family: tRNA
About the family: Transfer RNA (tRNA) molecules are approximately 80 nucleotides in length. Their secondary structure includes four short double-helical elements and three loops (D, anti-codon, and T loops). Further hydrogen bonds mediate the characteristic L-shaped molecular structure. tRNAs have two regions of fundamental functional importance: the anti-codon, which is responsible for specific mRNA codon recognition, and the 3' end, to which the tRNAs corresponding amino acid is attached (by aminoacyl-tRNA synthetases). tRNAs cope with the degeneracy of the genetic code in two manners: having more than one tRNA (with a specific anti-codon) for a particular amino acid; and 'wobble' base-pairing, i.e. permitting non-standard base-pairing at the 3rd anti-codon position.
Source: RNAcentral